RNAcentral lists this ribosomal RNA (1530 nucleotides) under Shigella sonnei str. Moseley. RNAcentral's name for it is "16S ribosomal RNA". The record is from RNAcentral. Lineage: Bacteria; Pseudomonadati; Pseudomonadota; Gammaproteobacteria; Enterobacterales; Enterobacteriaceae.
AGGUGAUCCAACCGCAGGUUCCCCUACGGUUACCUUGUUACGACUUCACCCCAGUCAUGAAUCACAAAGUGGUAAGCGCCCUCCCGAAGGUUAAGCUACCUACUUCUUUUGCAACCCACUCCCAUGGUGUGACGGGCGGUGUGUACAAGGCCCGGGAACGUAUUCACCGUGGCAUUCUGAUCCACGAUUACUAGCGAUUCCGACUUCAUGGAGUCGAGUUGCAGACUCCAAUCCGGACUACGACGCACUUUAUGAGGUCCGCUUGCUCUCGCGAGGUCGCUUCUCUUUGUAUGCGCCAUUGUAGCACGUGUGUAGCCCUGGUCGUAAGGGCCAUGAUGACUUGACGUCAUCCCCACCUUCCUCCAGUUUAUCACUGGCAGUCUCCUUUGAGUUCCCGGCCGGACCGCUGGCAACAAAGGAUAAGGGUUGCGCUCGUUGCGGGACUUAACCCAACAUUUCACAACACGAGCUGACGACAGCCAUGCAGCACCUGUCUCACAGUUCCCGAAGGCACCAAUCCAUCUCUGGAAAGUUCUGUGGAUGUCAAGACCAGGUAAGGUUCUUCGCGUUGCAUCGAAUUAAACCACAUGCUCCACCGCUUGUGCGGGCCCCCGUCAAUUCAUUUGAGUUUUAACCUUGCGGCCGUACUCCCCAGGCGGUCGACUUAACGCGUUAGCUCCGGAAGCCACGCCUCAAGGGCACAACCUCCAAGUCGACAUCGUUUACGGCGUGGACUACCAGGGUAUCUAAUCCUGUUUGCUCCCCACGCUUUCGCACCUGAGCGUCAGUCUUCGUCCAGGGGGCCGCCUUCGCCACCGGUAUUCCUCCAGAUCUCUACGCAUUUCACCGCUACACCUGGAAUUCUACCCCCCUCUACGAGACUCAAGCUUGCCAGUAUCAGAUGCAGUUCCCAGGUUGAGCCCGGGGAUUUCACAUCUGACUUAACAAACCGCCUGCGUGCGCUUUACGCCCAGUAAUUCCGAUUAACGCUUGCACCCUCCGUAUUACCGCGGCUGCUGGCACGGAGUUAGCCGGUGCUUCUUCUGCGGGUAACGUCAAUGAGCAAAGGUAUUAACUUUACUCCCUUCCUCCCCGCUGAAAGUACUUUACAACCCGAAGGCCUUCUUCAUACACGCGGCAUGGCUGCAUCAGGCUUGCGCCCAUUGUGCAAUAUUCCCCACUGCUGCCUCCCGUAGGAGUCUGGACCGUGUCUCAGUUCCAGUGUGGCUGGUCAUCCUCUCAGACCAGCUAGGGAUCGUCGCCUUGGUGAGCCGUUACCCCACCAACAAGCUAAUCCCAUCUGGGCACAUCCGAUGGCAAGAGGCCCGAAGGUCCCCCUCUUUGGUCUUGCGACAUUAUGCGGUAUUAGCUACCGUUUCCAGUAGUUAUCCCCCUCCAUCAGGCAGUUUCCCAGACAUUACUCACCCGUCCGCCACUCGUCAGCGAAGCAGCAAGCUGCUUCCUGUUACCGUUCGACUUGCAUGUGUUAGGCCUGCCGCCAGCGUUCAAUCUGAGCCAUGAUCAAACUCU